Molecule: ribosomal RNA, 1372 nt
Filed under: uncultured bacterium
Lineage: Bacteria
Description: bacterial SSU rRNA
Rfam family: Bacterial small subunit ribosomal RNA
Source: RNAcentral
GAUGAACGCUGGCGGCGUGCCUAACACAUGCAAGUCGAGCGAACGGACGAGAAGCUUGCUUCUCUGAUGUUAGCGGCGGACGGGUGAGUAACACGUGGAUAACCUACCUAUAAGACUGGGAUAACUUCGGGAAACCGGAGCUAAUACCGGAUAAUAUUUUGAACCGCAUGGUUCAAAAGUGAAAGACGGUCUUGCUGUCACUUAUAGAUGGAUCCGCGCUGCAUUAGCUAGUUGGUAAGGUAACGGCUUACCAAGGCAACGAUGCAUAGCCGACCUGAGAGGGUGAUCGGCCACACUGGAACUGAGACACGGUCCAGACUCCUACGGGAGGCAGCAGUAGGGAAUCUUCCGCAAUGGGCGAAAGCCUGACGGAGCAACGCCGCGUGAGUGAUGAAGGUCUUCGGAUCGUAAAACUCUGUUAUUAGGGAAGAACAUAUGUGUAAGUAACUGUGCACAUCUUGACGGUACCUAAUCAGAAAGCCACGGCUAACUACGUGCCAGCAGCCGCGGUAAUACGUAGGUGGCAAGCGUUAUCCGGAAUUAUUGGGCGUAAAGCGCGCGUAGGCGGUUUUUUAAGUCUGAUGUGAAAGCCCACGGCUCAACCGUGGAGGGUCAUUGGAAACUGGAAAACUUGAGUGCAGAAGAGGAAAGUGGAAUUCCAUGUGUAGCGGUGAAAUGCGCAGAGAUAUGGAGGAACACCAGUGGCGAAGGCGACUUUCUGGUCUGUAACUGACGCUGAUGUGCGAAAGCGUGGGGAUCAAACAGGAUUAGAUACCCUGGUAGUCCACGCCGUAAACGAUGAGUGCUAAGUGUUAGGGGGUUUCCGCCCCUUAGUGCUGCAGCUAACGCAUUAAGCACUCCGCCUGGGGAGUACGACCGCAAGGUUGAAACUCAAAGGAAUUGACGGGGACCCGCACAAGCGGUGGAGCAUGUGGUUUAAUUCGAAGCAACGCGAAGAACCUUACCAAAUCUUGACAUCCUUUGACAACUCUAGAGAUAGAGCCUUCCCCUUCGGGGGACAAAGUGACAGGUGGUGCAUGGUUGUCGUCAGCUCGUGUCGUGAGAUGUUGGGUUAAGUCCCGCAACGAGCGCAACCCUUAAGCUUAGUUGCCAUCAUUAAGUUGGGCACUCUAAGUUGACUGCCGGUGACAAACCGGAGGAAGGUGGGGAUGACGUCAAAUCAUCAUGCCCCUUAUGAUUUGGGCUACACACGUGCUACAAUGGACAAUACAAAGGGCAGCGAAACCGCGAGGUCAAGCAAAUCCCAUAAAGUUGUUCUCAGUUCGGAUUGUAGUCUGCAACUCGACUACAUGAAGCUGGAAUCGCUAGUAAUCGUAGAUCAGCAUGCUACGGUGAAUACGUUCCCGGGUCU